This 253-nucleotide ribosomal RNA is filed under the name uncultured bacterium. Its description in RNAcentral is "partial 16S ribosomal RNA". It matches the Rfam family "Bacterial small subunit ribosomal RNA", at positions 524 to 776 of the family's 1533-position model. The record is from RNAcentral.
UACGUAGGGGGCAAGCGUUGUCCGGAAUCAUUGGGCGUAAAGAGCGUGUAGGCGGUUCGGUAAGUCGGGUGUGAAAGUCCAGGGCUCAACCCUGGGAUGCCGGUCGAUACUGCCGGACUAGAGUUCGGAAGAGGCGAGUGGAAUUCCCGGUGUAGCGGUGAAAUGCGCAGAUAUCGGGAGGAACACCUAUGGCGAAGGCAGCUCGCUGGGACGUUACUGACGCUGAGACGCGAAAGCGUGGGGAGCAAACAGG